CUGGGGUUGUGACUCAGAGGCAGAGCACUCGCCUAGCAUGCGUGAGACACUGGGUUCAAUCCUCAGACCGCAUA
Molecule: transfer RNA, 74 nt
Filed under: Marmota monax (woodchuck)
Lineage: Eukaryota; Metazoa; Chordata; Mammalia; Rodentia; Sciuridae
Description: tRNA.Ala
Source: RNAcentral